Molecule: ribosomal RNA, 491 nt
Filed under: Neogloboquadrina incompta
Lineage: Eukaryota; Foraminifera; Rotaliida; Globorotaliidae
Description: bacterial SSU rRNA
Rfam family: Eukaryotic small subunit ribosomal RNA
Source: RNAcentral
GAAAUCUUACCAGGUCCGGACACACUGAGGAUUGACAGGAAGUAUCGUCUUUUGAAAUCUUUAAGUACAUGUCGUUUCUAAUGACAUCUUUUAGAUGAAUGAUUCGUGUAAAUAUGCUAGUUCUUUCAUGAUUAUGUGAUAGGUGGUGCAUGGCCGUUCUUAGUUCGUGGAGUGAUCUGUCUGCUUAAUUGCGUUUCACUAUGGCCCCAAAGUUAGCAAGUUAUCCAAUCAUGACCUUCGUCGACCCCUCACCUUUGAGUGCGCGUCCUAGCUUAGAGUACAUGGUGUAAAUGGACUUGUUUUGGGUACCCAGAAAGCAACGAACGUGACCGCAACGUCUUGUUGUCUCUCUUUUGACAGUUAUGGGUUAUCCCAGUCAUGUGUUUAUGCUUUUAUGUGUAAAUACGUACGACACAGAGACUAGAUACCAAACUAGGCGUACCGCUGUAUCAUUUCUUUAAACCAGAGGAAGGUUGCGGCAAUAACAGGUC